GAUGAACGCUGGCGGCGUGCCUAAUACAUGCAAGUCGAGCGAACAGACGAGGAGCUUGCUCCUCUGACGUUAGCGGCGGACGGGUGAGUAACACGUGGAUAACCUACCUAUAAGACUGGGAUAACUUCGGGAAACCGGAGCUAAUACCGGAUAAUAUAUUGAACCGCAUGGUUCAAUAGUGAAAGACGGUUUUGCUGACACUUAUAGAUGGAUCCGCGCCGCAUUAGCUAGUUGGUAAGGUAACGGCUUACCAAGGCAACGAUGCGUAGCCGACCUGAGAGGGUGAUCGGCCACACUGGAACUGAGACACGGUCCAGACUCCUACGGGAGGCAGCAGUAGGGAAUCUUCCGCAAUGGGCGAAAGCCUGACGGAGCAACGCCGCGUGAGUGAUGAAGGUCUUCGGAUCGUAAAACUCUGUUAUUAGGGAAGAACAAAUGUGUAAGUAACUAUGCACGUCUUGACGGUACCUACUCAGAAAGCAACGGCUAACUACGUG
Molecule: ribosomal RNA, 497 nt
Filed under: uncultured bacterium
Lineage: Bacteria
Description: partial 16S ribosomal RNA
Rfam family: Bacterial small subunit ribosomal RNA
Source: RNAcentral